UGCUCCUGCCUGAUGGGAGUUGAGGUCCUACCCCGAUCCCAAACACUGACCGCCGGUGCCGGAUCAUUAAUACCAUCUGGAACAAAUUACUAAAUGAGCCUCCAUCAUGCGAACGUGACGUAUUCCCGGGUUCUAGAGCGGCGCGUGGAUCGUUCUUACAUGGAGUCUUAAAAGUAAUUUUUUCUAAAACACAGAAUAUUUCCAUGUUUGGGACGAGGCUCAGCAAGGAGUCCAGAAUCGGGUUUUCUGCCUAAUUCCAGCGAAUAAAAAUCGGUUACAUUGAA
Molecule: long non-coding RNA, 284 nt
Organism: Spea bombifrons (plains spadefoot toad)
Lineage: Eukaryota; Metazoa; Chordata; Amphibia; Anura; Pelobatidae
Exons: 2
Source: RefSeq, a predicted model, not a curated record